RNAcentral lists this ribosomal RNA (440 nucleotides) under uncultured bacterium. RNAcentral describes it as "partial 16S ribosomal RNA". It matches the Rfam family "Bacterial small subunit ribosomal RNA", at positions 338 to 795 of the family's 1533-position model. The record is from RNAcentral.
CCUACGGGAGGCAGCAGUGGGGAAUAUUUCACAAUGGGGGAAACCCUGAUGCAGCGACGCCGCGUGAGUGAUGAAGUCUUUCGGUAUGUAAAGCUCUAUCAGCAGGGAAGAGAAUGACGGUACCUGAGUAAGAAGCCCCGGCUAACUACGUGCCAGCAGCCGCGGUAAUACGUAGGGGGCAAGCUUUAUCCGGAUUUACUGGGUGUAAAGGGUGCGUAGACGGCGAAGAAAGUCUGAAGUGAAAGGCGGCGGCUCAACCGCGGAACUGCUUUGGAAACUUUUAUGCUGGAGUACCGGAGGGGUAAGUGGAAUUUCUAGUGUAGGGGUGAAAUGCGUAGAUAUUAGAAGGAACACCAGUGGCGAAGGCGGCUUACUGGAACGGAACUGACGUUGAGGCUCGAAAGCGUGGGGAGCAAACACGAUUAGAUACCCCGGUAGUC